This 225-nucleotide ribosomal RNA is filed under the name uncultured bacterium. RNAcentral describes it as "partial 16S ribosomal RNA". It matches the Rfam family "Bacterial small subunit ribosomal RNA", at positions 15 to 231 of the family's 1533-position model. The record is from RNAcentral.
GAUCCUGGCUCAGGAUGAACGCUAGCUACAGGCUUAACACAUGCAAGUCGAGGGGCAGUAUGGUCUUAGCUUGCUGAGGCCGAUGGCGACCGGCGCACGGGUGAGUAACACGUAUCCAACCUGUCGUCUACUCUUGGACAGCCUUCUGAAAGGAAGAUUAAUACAAGAUGGCAUCAUGAGUCCGCAUGUUCACAUGAUUAAAGGUAUUCCGGUAGACGAUGGGGA